RNAcentral lists this ribosomal RNA (253 nucleotides) under uncultured bacterium. RNAcentral describes it as "partial 16S ribosomal RNA". It matches the Rfam family "Bacterial small subunit ribosomal RNA", at positions 524 to 776 of the family's 1533-position model. The record is from RNAcentral.
UACGUAGGGUGCGAGCGUUAAUCGGAAUUACUGGGCGUAAAGCGUGCGCAGGCGGUUCGUUAAGUCUGAUGUGAAAGCCCCGGGCUCAACCUGGGAAUGGCAUUGGAAACUAGCGGGCUCGAGUGUGGCAGAGGGGGGUGGAAUUCCACGUGUAGCAGUGAAAUGCGUAGAGAUGUGGAGGAACACCGAUGGCGAAGGCAGCCCCCUGGGCUAACACUGACGCCCAGGCACGAAAGCGUGGGGAGCAAACAGG